ACGACUUUCUCAUCAUGGAGAAGCUUCAGAUGCUUCUCCACAAUCCUGGUACUGGUUGAAAUGAGAGUUCUCUCCGGCUGUUGUGCUUCUAGCGUCGUUUGAGGCUACCUGGCUGUCUUGUCAACGUUAAAUAUUUUUGUAGAUGAGGAGAAAACACCAUAAGUGUCCGGGGCCCAAGAAUGUUGAACAGCCUUCCACCAGCCAUAAGGGGAAUUACCAAUAGGCCUCUGGCUGCCUUCAGGAUGGAGCUGGACAUAUACUUAAAGUCGGUGCCGGAUCAGCCGGGCUGUGGUUCGUACGUUGAACUACGUGCGGCCAGCAUUAACAGCCUGGUUGAUCAGGUCCUGAUCCACAGGGAGGCCUGGUCGUGAACCGGGCCGCGGGGACGUUUGAUCCCCGGAAUACUGUCCAGAUAUACUCCAGCUUGGAUGACAGAGAGGGUCACCUGCCAAUCAACGAGUAGAACUGAAGGAGACAGACUAACGUUCUGAGACGUCCCAAAUUUUUGAUCCACUUACCUGUUUGUGUAUGCAAGUAGCAGGAUAUAACCCCUCAUCAAUGCAGUGGAAAAAAACUUGUUUUCCUGUCAUCUGGACGGAUUAUUGACGGCUAGAAAAUCUGUGAAGAACGAGCCGGUGGGUUGUCAUCAACACCUGCGACCCCCCCCCCCCCCAUCAUCGGCAACGGCUACGAUUUCAACAACACGCAGUGUCACCAACACCAGACACCCAAGUUUUAUAUAUACAUAUUAGCGUUGAAUUCAGAUAUUUAUAUUUUUCAUUUUCAUUUUCUUUAAGGUAGGAUUAAUAUUUCAUAUUUAAGUGUUUUAUAUUUUAUAUUUUCUAAAUAAUAAAUUGUUUAUGUUUGUCAG
Molecule: long non-coding RNA, 871 nt
Organism: Cherax quadricarinatus
Lineage: Eukaryota; Metazoa; Arthropoda; Malacostraca; Decapoda; Parastacidae
Source: RefSeq, a predicted model, not a curated record